AGCAGUCGCCGCGGUAAUACGAAGGGGGCUAGCGUUGUUCGGAUUUACUGGGCGUAAAGCGCACGUAGGCGGACUUUUAAGUCAGGGGUGAAAUCCCGGGGCUCAACCCCGGAACUGCCUUUGAUACUGGGAGUCUUGAGUUCGAGAGAGGUGAGUGGAAUUGCGAGUGUAGAGGUGAAAUUCGUAGAUAUUCGCAGGAACACCAGUGGCGAAGGCGGCUCACUGGCUCGAUACUGACGCUGAGGUGCGAAAGCGUGGGGAGCAAACAGGAUUAGAUACCCCCGUAGUCCCUGUCUCUUAUAC
Molecule: ribosomal RNA, 303 nt
Filed under: uncultured bacterium
Lineage: Bacteria
Description: partial 16S ribosomal RNA
Rfam family: Bacterial small subunit ribosomal RNA
Source: RNAcentral